CCUGUUAAUUAUGGCGUAUCUUAACAAAGAAAAAAUGUCUUCAUAUUGUUUAUAUAUUUUUAGAUUUCAGCCAUAAAAUUAUAACGCCUCGGUUCCAAAAUAAUAUUUUCAAAUCAUUGAAAAUAAAUCGUUAAGUACAAACACCAACACAAUCAAGAUAAAAGAGUGGGAGGAAAUAUUAUAAAUAUACCCUAUACAAGGUUUAACGAGUUGAAUAGCAGACGUGAGUUAAAUCAGCUGAAAAUUCAGUAGAAAGCCAUGA
Spodoptera litura is the source of this 262-nucleotide long non-coding RNA. RefSeq lists it as uncharacterized. The record is from RefSeq and is a predicted model, not a curated record. Lineage: Eukaryota; Metazoa; Arthropoda; Insecta; Lepidoptera; Noctuidae.